UACGUAGGGUGCGAGCGUUGUCCGGAAUUAUUGGGCGUAAAGAGCUUGUAGGCGGUCUGUCGCGUCUGCUGUGAAAAUCCGGGGCUCAACCCCGGACUUGCAGUGGGUACGGGCAGACUAGAGUGUGGUAGGGGAGACUGGAAUUCCUGGUGUAGCGGUGAAAUGCGCAGAUAUCAGGAGGAACACCGGCGGCGAAGGCGGCACUCUGGGCCGGUACUGACGCUGAGGAGCGAAAGCGUGGGUAGCAAACAGG
RNAcentral lists this ribosomal RNA (253 nucleotides) under uncultured bacterium. RNAcentral's name for it is "partial 16S ribosomal RNA". It matches the Rfam family "Bacterial small subunit ribosomal RNA", at positions 524 to 776 of the family's 1533-position model. The record is from RNAcentral.